Molecule: ribosomal RNA, 492 nt
Filed under: uncultured bacterium
Lineage: Bacteria
Description: partial 16S ribosomal RNA
Rfam family: Bacterial small subunit ribosomal RNA
Source: RNAcentral
AGUGAACGCUGGCGGUAGGCAUAACACAUGCAAGUCGAACGGCAGCGCAGUAAGAGCUUGCUCUUAUGGGUGGCGAGUGGCGGACGGGUGAGGAAUACAGCGGAAUCUACUUUUUCGUGGGGGAUAACGUAGGGAAACUUACGCUAAUACCGCAUACGACCUACGGGUGAAAGCAGGGGAUCUUCGGACCUUGCGCGAUUGAACGAGUCGAUGUCGGAUUAGCUAGUUGGCGGGGCAAAGGCCCACCAAGGCGACGAUCCGUAGCUGGUCUGAGAGGAUGAUCAGCCACACUGGAACUGAGACACGGUCCAGACUCCUACGGGAGGCAGCAGUGGGGAAUAUUGGACAAUGGGCGCAAGCCUGAUCCAGCCAUACCGCGUGGGUGAAGAAGGCCUUCGGGUUGUAAAGCCCUUUUGUUGGGAAAGACAAGCAGCAGGUUAAUACCCCGCUGUUCUGGCGGUAGCCAAUGUAUAAGCGCCGGAUAACUUCGUG